Molecule: long non-coding RNA, 158 nt
Organism: Nothoprocta perdicaria
Lineage: Eukaryota; Metazoa; Chordata; Aves; Tinamiformes; Tinamidae
Exons: 2
Source: RefSeq, a predicted model, not a curated record
GGAGAAGAUCAAGGAGAUCAGUGACCGUCAGCCAGAGAACCAGCAGGAGCCGCCUGCGGAGGCACCGGGUGACACGGYGCCGGGUGACACGGCGGGUGACGCGGAGGUGACGUCGGAGCUGCGGCCCCUCAUGCUCUGGUUGGCCAACGCCACCGAGC